AGCAGCCGCGGUAAUUCCAGCUCCAAUAGCGUAUAUUAAAGUUGUUGCAGUUAAAAAGCUCGUAGUUGAAUUUCGGGAUCAAAUUGUUGGUCGUGCUUCGGUACGCACUGGCAUUAUUGGUUCCUACCUUCUGAAGAACCGCGAUGUCAUUAAUUUGGUGUCGUGGGGAAUCAGGACUGUUACUUUGAAAAAAUUAGAGUGUUUAAAGCAGGCUUACGCUUGAAUACAUUAGCAUGGAAUAAUGAAAUAGGACGUUUGAUUCUAUUUUGUUGGUUUCUAGGAUCGACGUAAUGAUUAAUAGGGAUAGUUGGGGGCAUUAGUAUUCAAUUGUCAGAGGUGAAAUUCUUGGAUUUAUUGAAGACUAACUACUGCGAAAGCAUUUGCCAAGGAUGUUUUCAUUAAUCAAGAACGAAAGUUAGGGGAUCGAAGACGAUCAGAUACCGUCGUAGUCUUAACCAUAAACUAUGCCGACUAGGGAUCGGAUGAUGUUAAUUUUAUAAUGACUC
This 506-nucleotide ribosomal RNA is filed under the name uncultured Glomeromycotina. RNAcentral describes it as "SSU rRNA". It matches the Rfam family "Eukaryotic small subunit ribosomal RNA", at positions 569 to 1077 of the family's 1831-position model. Lineage: Eukaryota; Fungi; Glomeromycota. The record is from RNAcentral.